This 476-nucleotide ribosomal RNA is filed under the name uncultured organism. RNAcentral describes it as "partial 16S ribosomal RNA". It matches the Rfam family "Bacterial small subunit ribosomal RNA", at positions 333 to 800 of the family's 1533-position model. The record is from RNAcentral.
ACACUCCUGCGGGAGGCAGCAGUGGGGAAUUUUGGACAAUGGGCGAAAGCCUGAUCCAGCCAUGCCGCGUGCAGGAUGAAGGCCUUCGGGUUGUAAACUGCUUUUGUACGGAACGAAACGGCCUUUUCUAAUAAAGAGGGCUAAUGACGGUACCGUAAGAAUAAGCACCGGCUAACUACGUGCCAGCAGCCGCGGUAAUACGUAGGGUGCAAGCGUUAAUCGGAAUUACUGGGCGUAAAGCGUGCGCAGGCGGUUAUGUAAGACAGUUGUGAAAUCCCCGGGCUCAACCUGGGAACUGCAUCUGUGACUGCAUAGCUAGAGUACGGUAGAGGGGGAUGGAAUUCCGCGUGUAGCAGUGAAAUGCGUAGAUAUGCGGAGGAACACCGAUGGCGAAGGCAAUCCCCUGGACCUGUACUGACGCUCAUGCACGAAAGCGUGGGGAGCAAACAGGAUUAGAAACCCUAGUAGUCCCAUGA